AACCCAUGGUGAGGGCACCAUCUCAAUAGGUCCUUAUACCUCUCCCAUGCAUCAUAUAGGGUCUUUAAAUCGAUCUGAAUGAAGAAGAGAUAUCAUUUCUUAACUU
Molecule: small nucleolar RNA, 106 nt
Filed under: Gossypium hirsutum (cotton)
Lineage: Eukaryota; Viridiplantae; Streptophyta; Magnoliopsida; Malvales; Malvaceae
Description: Plant small nucleolar RNA R71
Rfam family: Plant small nucleolar RNA R71
About the family: R71 is a member of the C/D box family of snoRNAs containing the C (UGAUGA) and D (CUGA) box motifs. Multiple nearly identical copies of this snoRNA have been identified in Arabidopsis, and it is thought to function as a 2'-O-ribose methylation guide for 18S ribosomal RNA.
Source: Rfam by way of RNAcentral